Molecule: long non-coding RNA, 530 nt
Organism: Amphiprion ocellaris (clown anemonefish)
Lineage: Eukaryota; Metazoa; Chordata; Actinopteri; Pomacentridae
Source: Ensembl
GUUUCUUUUUACUGUCUGUAGAUGAUAUUUACAUGGAUACAGACUUUAUUAAGUAGUAAAGCCGACGUUUUUCGAUGAGGUCUUCUUUAUCUGGUAUCUUUAUUUCAUGUAGAUCCAGGUCUGAUCGUGACGAAUCUGCGGACGAAACAUCUGGAAACAGAAACUAUCACCAGUUAACCUGAUCACCAGUUAAACUGGAACACCGGUGGUUUGGAGUCAACAAAACGGACUAGCAGCCAGUACAGAGGGAUAUUUACGAUGACGACAACCUUCGUCUCCGUUGGCAAAGAGACACCGAGACUACACGUUAAAAAAUAAAACAAGACAUUAGAAGACCUCAUCUUAGACUCUGGGAAACUGGGACGGACGUCUCCACUGCUGUCUUGCAUUUAGGAGACUGACUGGUGAAUUGAUCAUCACUGGGGUGAGGAGUGGAGGCUGGACUGUCCAUUGUAUGGCAGGUUGAAGUGCGUUGCGUAACGGAUGAAGAGCAGACCGAUCAGUUCCAUCAGUCCCAUCAUGCUCCUCUC